Molecule: ribosomal RNA, 586 nt
Filed under: Procapra gutturosa
Lineage: Eukaryota; Metazoa; Chordata; Mammalia; Artiodactyla; Bovidae
Description: partial 16S ribosomal RNA
Rfam family: Bacterial large subunit ribosomal RNA
Source: RNAcentral
GCCUGUUUACCAAAAACAUCACCUCCAGCAUUCCCAGUAUUGGAGGCACUGCCUGCCCAGUGACAAACGUUAAACGGCCGCGGUAUCCUGACCGUGCAAAGGUAGCAUAAUCAUUUGUUCUUUAAAUAAGGACUUGUAUGAAUGGCCACACGAGGGUUUUACUGUCUCUUACUUCCAAUCAGUGAAAUUGACCUUCCCUUGAAGAGGCGGGAAUAAACAAAUAAGACGAGAAGACCCUAUGGAGCUUUAACUAGUUAGCUUAAAGAAAAAAACUUUACCACCAAGGGACAACACUAAUCUUAAUAAACUAACAGUUUCGGUUGGGGUGACCUCGGAGAACAAAAAAUCCUCCGAGCGAUUUUAAAAACAAGACACACAAGUCAAAUUGAACUAUCGCUUAUUGAUCCAAAAUUUGAUCAACGGAACAAGUUACCCUAGGGAUAACAGCGCAAUCCUAUUCAAGAGUCCAUAUCGACAAUAGGGUUUACGACCUCGAUGUUGGAUCAGGACAUCCUGAUGGUGCAACCGCUAUCAAAGGUUCGUUUGUUCAACGAUUAAAGUCCUACGUGAUCUGAGUUCAGACCGG